Molecule: ribosomal RNA, 1272 nt
Filed under: metagenome
Description: bacterial SSU rRNA
Rfam family: Bacterial small subunit ribosomal RNA
Source: RNAcentral
GGAGGGGGAUAACGGCUGGAAACGGCCGCUAAUACCCCAUAUGCCGAGAGGUGAAACGAAUUUCGCCUGAGGAUGAGCCCGCGUCUGAUUAGCUAGUUGGUGGGGUAACGGCCCACCAAGGCGACGAUCAGUAGCUGGUCUGAGAGGAUGAUCAGCCACACUGGGACUGAGACACGGCCCAGACUCCUACGGGAGGCAGCAGUGGGGAAUUUUCCGCAAUGGGCGAAAGCCUGACGGAGCAACGCCGCGUGAGGGAUGAAGGCCUCUGGGCUGUAAACCUCUUUUCUCAAGGAAGAAGACCUGACGGUACUUGAGGAAUAAGCCACGGCUAAUUCCGUGCCAGCAGCCGCGGUAAUACGGGAGUGGCAAGCGUUAUCCGGAAUUAUUGGGCGUAAAGCGUCCGCAGGCGGCCUUGUAAGUCUGUUGUUAAAGCGUGGAGCUUAACUCCAUUUAAGCAAUGGAAACUACAAGGCUGGAGUGUGGUAGGGGCAGAGGGAAUUCCCGGUGUAGCGGUGAAAUGCGUAGAUAUCGGGAAGAACACCAGUGGCGAAGGCGCUCUGCUGGGCCAUAACUGACGCUCAUGGACGAAAGCCAGGGGAGCGAAAGGGAUUAGAUACCCCUGUAGUCCUGGCCGUAAACGAUGAACACUAGGUGUCGGGGGAAUCGACCCCCUCGGUGUCGUAGCCAUCGCGUUAAGUGUUCCGCCUGGGGAGUACGCACGCAAGUGUGAAACUCAAAGGAAUUGACGGGGGCCCGCACAAGCGGUGGAGUAUGUGGUUUAAUUCGAUGCAACGCGAAGAACCUUACCAGGGUUUGACAUCCUGCGAACCCCUGAGAAAUCGGGGGGUGCCUUCGGGAGCGCAGAGACAGGUGGUGCAUGGCUGUCGUCAGCUCGUGUCGUGAGAUGUUGGGUUAAGUCCCGCAACGAGCGCAACCCACGUCUUUAGUUGCCAUCAUUCAGUUGGGCACUCUAGAGAGACCGCCGGUGAUAAACCGGAGGAAGGUGUGGAUGACGUCAAGUCAUCAUGCCCCUUACAUCCUGGGCUACACACGUACUACAAUGCUACGGACAAAGGGCAGCAAGCUCGCGAGAGUUAGCAAAUCCCAUAAACCGUGGCUCAGUUCAGAUCGUAGGCUGCAACUCGCCUACGUGAAGGAGGAAUCGCUAGUAAUCGCAGGUCAGCAUACUGCGGUGAAUACGUUCCCGGGCCUUGUACACACCGCCCGUCACACCAUGGAAGUUGGCCAUGCCCGAAGUCGUUACUCCAACCC